This 870-nucleotide long non-coding RNA is filed under the name Equus caballus (horse). RNAcentral's name for it is "lncRNA (ENSECAG00000056856.1)". Lineage: Eukaryota; Metazoa; Chordata; Mammalia; Perissodactyla; Equidae. The record is from RNAcentral.
GAUUGGAACUGGCGAGCCCUGAGCUGCCAAAUCAGAGCUCAUGAACUUAACUGCUAUGCCACUGGGCUGGCCCCUGCAAAUUGCAUUUUUGCAAUCUGAUCCUGUAGAAGCUGGCUCCAGUGCACCACUGGCCCUAAUGCUGCAGAUGCCUGAGGAGCUCCUUUCUGUGAAUUUACUCCAGUUGCCACACCCUGGGCCCCUAGAGCAGUGUUUGUCUCCUGGCAGGCCUCAGUAAGUAAUUGUUGAAGCAGUGAAAAGAUGAAAAAACCCAGAGCACUUGGAAGAAGUUCUAGGGGCUAUGGAAGAACGUGUAUGAAUCCUACCUUGGGCUUUUACUAAAAGAACAUGCUCUCUGCCAUGGAUAGUGUGGGUUUGAUGCUGGCUUUGGAGGGCUGUAGAAAGGGUACUAAAGUUCCCGAGAGGAGGUUGGAAUUCUGGAGUUUUAAGUCCUUCCAAGCCUCCUGCAUCUGUCAUUCUAGGUAUCGUUAGCGUGCAUUUUACUUCUUCUCUAGUUGUGCCCAAAGCUGAAGUAAGCAUACAAUAAUAGCUAAAACAUUAUUGACUGAUAAUAUGCAUUCAGUAAAAUUUCAGCUGAAUGAAUGGAUAUUACUCUGUAUAAAAGAAAAGAAAAUUGCAAAAUAAGUAAUCUUCCAGUAAAAUGGAAAAGUCAAAUCAUGUAAUUCAUUCCAGUACCCAGAAUUUAUGACUUUGGGGUUAUCCACUUUUAUUGGAAGAGCCAGAACAUACCUCUUCUGUGGGUGCUGUUUAUCAGGAGGGCUUGUAUGUGCUGAAGUACUCCUAUGUAAUUGUAUAUGGGUCGAUAUUUGUGAUCAUGAUGUUGUGCUGCUAUAUGCCACACAUCGUAGGGUU